RNAcentral lists this long non-coding RNA (247 nucleotides) under Phasianus colchicus (ring-necked pheasant). Its description in RNAcentral is "lncRNA (ENSPCLG00000007543.1)". Lineage: Eukaryota; Metazoa; Chordata; Aves; Galliformes; Phasianidae. The record is from RNAcentral.
UUACAAGUCACUUUCCCGUUUUCUCUGCUGGAUACUUUGAAUGUCAGCAUGAUAGAAGAGGGAGAGAUUUGUGGCACAUCUUUGUAACUUGACCAAUGAUCUGCUGCACAAUCCAUUAUUGCUGGAGACAUUUGCAUGAAAGCAAGACAUCCUGCAGUUACUUUCACAGAUGAGGUGGCUGUGUUUUUGUGAAGGUUAUUUUUGGCUUGAAACAGAAUCAAGAGUCUGUCAAAGAUCCUGGAACUGA